GGCGGCGUGCCUAAUACAUGCAAGUCGAGCGGACAGAUGGGAGCUUGCUCCCUGAUGUUAGCGGCGGACGGGUGAGUAACACGUGGGUAACCUGCCUGUAAGACUGGGAUAACUCCGGGAAACCGGGGCUAAUACCGGAUGGUUGUUUGAACCGCAUGGUUCAAACAUAAAAGGUGGCUUCGGCUACCACUUACAGAUGGACCCGCGGCGCAUUAGCUAGUUGGUGAGGUAAUGGCUCACCAAGGCAACGAUGCGUAGCCGACCUGAGAGGGUGAUCGGCCACACUGGGACUGAGACACGGCCCAGACUCCUACGGGAGGCAGCAGUAGGGAAUCUUCCGCAAUGGACGAAAGUCUGACGGAGCAACGCCGCGUGAGUGAUGAAGGUUUUCGGAUCGUAAAGCUCUGUUGUUAGGGAAGAACAAGUACCGUUCGAAUAGGGCGGUACCUUGACGGUACCUAACCAGAAAGCCACGGCUAACUACGUGCACGUAGGUGGCAAGCGUUGUCCGGAAUUAUUGGGCGUAAAGGGCUCGCAGGCGGUUUCUUAAGUCUGAUGUGAAAGCCCCCGGCUCAACCGGGGAGGGUCAUUGGAAACUGGGGAACUUGAGUGCAGAAGAGGAGAGUGGAAUUCCACGUGUAGCGGUGAAAUGCGUAGAGAUGUGGAGGAACACCAGUGGCGAAGGCGACUCUCUGGUCUGUAACUGACGCUGAGGAGCGAAAGCGUGGGGAGCGAACAGGAUUAGAUACCCUGGUAGUCCACGCCGUAAACGAUGAGUGCUAAGUGUUAGGGGGUUUCCGCCCCUUAGUGCUGCAGCUAACGCAUUAAGCACUCCGCCUGGGGAGUACGGUCGCAAGACUGAAACUCAAAGGAAUUGACGGGGGCCCGCACAAGCGGUGGAGCAUGUGGUUUAAUUCGAAGCAACGCGAAGAACCUUACCAGGUCUUGACCUAGAGAUAGGACGUCCCCUUCGGGGGCAGAGUGACAGGUGGUGCAUGGUUGUCGUCAGCUCGUGUCGUGAGAUGUUGGGUUAAGUCCCGCAACGAGCGCAACCCUUGAUCUUAGUUGCCAGCAUUCAGUUGGGCACUCUAAGGUGACUGCCGGUGACAAACCGGAGGAAGGUGGGGAUGACGUCAAAUCAUCAUGCCCCUUAUGACCUGGGCUACACACGUGCUACAAUGGACAGAACAAAGGGCAGCGAAACCGCGAGGUUAAGCCCACAAAUCUGUUCUCAGUUCGGAUCGCAGUCUGCAACUCGACUGCGUGAAGCUGGAAUCGCUAGUAAUCGCGGAUCAGCAUGCCGCGGUGAAUACGCUUGUACACACCGCCCGUCACACCACGAGAGUUUGUAACACCCGAAGUCGGUGAGGUAACCUUUUAGGAGCCAGCCGCCGAAGGUGGGACAGA
This 1407-nucleotide ribosomal RNA is filed under the name Bacillus subtilis. Its description in RNAcentral is "bacterial SSU rRNA". It matches the Rfam family "Bacterial small subunit ribosomal RNA". The record is from RNAcentral. Lineage: Bacteria; Bacillati; Bacillota; Bacilli; Caryophanales; Bacillaceae.